UGUUCAAAAUAUUCAGGGGGUUGUUAAACCUAUUUUAUGGUCACAAACCAUAAAACUGUAUGAGAAACUGUUGAUUAAUUUUCUAUAAAAGCAGUUCUAGCAGGUUGAUAUUAAUGCGCUCGUUCUAAUACGUUAUCGUUGCUAUGGUAACAGCUCAUUCACAGGAAUUUGUACGGCGGACACUCCACAUAAACACUUUUUUUUGCUAUGGUGACAUUUUCUGUGAGGAGAAAGGUGUUUAUUUAACAUUUAUGGACGGAGAAUGAAAAUGAAACAAUCGUUGCAAUCCUUGGAAAAUUGGUGGUGUAGGAGGAAUAAUACAUUUCAGGAUGUGCUGUUCUACGAAAUUCCGCUUCACACAGCAUUCCAUCGUUGAUUAUUUUCCUAUAACAGCACGAGUUUUGUAGUUACCUUCCCGGAAUAUAGACAAGAAUCAAGAAGAGCUUUGAAGGACAAAAAUAUAUAUACCUGUUGGCCAUCACACUGACAACAGGUAGUUUUUUUCACGCACUAUUUGAGACAAUUUGUUCCAUGUGCUCUUAAUCUCAACUAGACAGUCAAGACCAAUCACACUGCCGUCUCCUUAUAUCUCUGAGUAAUGACUGGAACAUAAAAGAAAUACAAAUGCAAAAGUUCAUGAUCCCUCAGUCUCUCGCUAUCCGUCAUCACUCUUAGAGUAAGCCAUGCUAAGUGCUCACUCAGGAAGUUAUGCAUGGUAGAUAACAGAGUGAAACAGAGGUGGGGUCAGCGUGCCUGGCCAAAACUCCUGGAGCCCAACCCGAGCGAAGUUACUAAUUAAUAAACGCCGGGAAAUGGCCGGGAUAUCCCUUCCGUGCAUGAAAUUAGGACUUUAUCUAUAGUCUCCAGGCACUUAGCCCCGGGGGAUGGAUUCAUGGACGCAAAUAUUAGAAAACAAAGAACCUCCAAAACAGCAUCACUGGCUAAUCACCUUUCCAUCCUCUACCCCAUUGUAUUGAUGAACAAUACGAGCGUGCCGGGACAACAAAGAUUCUGUUGCAACUGAUCACGGAUGGAUUGUAAAUCCUGCAUAUCUUAAUCCCAACUAUUUCUCUCUUCCUUCCCUGUAAAUCCCAUUCUCACUAUAAACUACACUUCCUGCUCAGGUGCACGCGUUCAGACCUUGGACUCGUCUGUCCCACACAAAACAGAGUGUCCCAAGGAAGCAUGUAGUUGAAUAAAGUCCUGUGCCUAAGAACUCCCUCAGCUCUCUGCCCCUUAGUCUUCCCACAGCCCGGCUGCCAAGCCGACACACAUUUUCCUGGCUGCGUUUCAGGAAAGUGCUGCUCCAAGCAGAAAGAUGGAAACUUCAGGGUUGAGUUUGCCUGGAUACAAUAAAACACACACAAACAGUGCCGAGUGAUUCAGAACGAAUCACACAGGGUCUCCUUUAUCGCGCAGGGCUUACCCUCUGGGUAGUUUCUUUUUAUCAAUCCUCAGUACUCAUAAGUAGCAGUUCCAGGUGAUUAAAAAAGCACAUAGCCAAGACUUUAGCCUUCAAGGCUCCAGCGUGUCAGAGCAUAUACCUAAAAAUGCCCACUAGCACACUGUCAUCCAGAAUCCAACUCACUCUACAAGGGAACACAGCUACUCAGUUUCUUUUUUUCCUUAUUUGGGCUAAAUGAGUCAUUCCUGCCCUGGAAAACAGAGUUCCCUUCACCCACAGAAAUGCUCAGAAGUCUCUGUCUACUGUUUACUGCAGAGGAGAAGAGAAUGUCAGGAACUUGCACAGCCAAAGCAACCGUAAACAGGAGAGGAGGAAGCUUUAUACAGGAGCACACAGAUCCUAUAAGACCUGGUGGAAACGUCUCACCAUGUUAAUAAACACUGACGUCUGAAAGGAAGUGCGGGGAUCUGCCUCAAACGUGCCACGGACAACAACUAGUCUAGAAAGGAUCCAUUAAACACAAAAAGUUUUUGACCCUGACCUCAGGAAAUGUUAUGUUGUUGUAAGUGGCACACUUUGAUCGUUUUGCUAGGAUUUACCACAAGCAAGGGAUGUCUUUUGUUUGUUUGUUUUUAAGUUCAUGGUGCCGGUUGAAUUCCAGAUUCUGAUUGGCCAGAAGGUGUUGAUUCAUUUUCAAUAACAACAGAGUCAAGAGAGAGGGUAAAAGAGAGAUUAGUUCAAGGAAUGAAUGUUUAUAGCAAUACAGUUUAUACCCAAGUGAGAAAGACGUGCGAAGAGAGACAGAGCGUGUGUGAGAGAGAUAAAGAGAGAGAGAGACAGAGAGAGAGAGAGAGAGAGAAAGACAAAGAGUGGGAGGGAGAGAGAGAAAGAGAUCUGUCUCUCUGUGUUUAACUUGCGCCUACUUCCAGGAACCUGACCUGUGAAGCACAUUUUGUCAACACCACAACCGCAACUUCAGCUCUCUCCAAAAACACAUCACUCUGGCUGUACCAUGUUGCCAUGACAGCACCGGAUCCAUUAAGUCAUGCUGCGGUGGCCCACUCUUUCCUGCUGAAGUUUUUGACCAGGACACUCCAACUGUACUGUACUGUACUGUUUACAGACAUGCUGAAACAUUGUGCACAUGUGCUACCACAUUGUUUAGAGAUUUAGAGGUACGGAGGUACUAAUGUUAAUCUCUCAAUACAGCCUUAAACCGAAACCGAGAGAACGUUUACAGAGAGAGAGAGAACUGCAACAGGCACUGUGAUGAUAGGAAGAAGGACUAGCCAGGGGGCGUGGCCAGACCUUUUACUAUGAGUUACUGGCACGGAAAAAUUGGAAAAAGCGCCUGUUCUUAUAAAUCUGGAGGAGACACAUCCAGUCUGGUCACUGUGUGUCAUGAUGAAAGGAAAUGCCUGAGCAGUGAUGAACAGCUCAACACUACGCCUCUUAGAAGAACCCAGAGAACUGACGAGUGAAGAGUUGCAGCUCAUGAAUCUAAUUAGCCAGAUACCAGCACUGAAGUAGCAUUAGCAGACAAUUAGCGUAGUAAUGCUAGCGUUCCCUGUAAAGGAUUCCUCACCCAUGUGUAGGCCUGCAGCUGCCUCUGUUCCCUCACACACUGUAUGUUUGAUCUCAGACACAAAAGCGCUUGCUGUCAUAUGCAUCUGCUGUAAACGAAAGCAGAACCAGAUGUUGAGAGGGAAUAUGAAAUGAUGUCACUGAGCUAAAAUAAGCCGAGGACACCCCUGAGCCUCAGUGGGAAAAUUCCUCCUCCUCCUCCUCCUCCUCCUCCUGUACAUGGACGACUGCUACACAAUUGAAAUUAAGUCUAUAAACCUUUCCUGUUUGGGACAUGCCCACUUCCUCUGGCUCUCAGUGUCCUCACAGAAAUGACAGCUGUUUUUUUUUUUUUUGUAUUAGCCGUGUGAAAACCAUGUCUUGGAGAGAAGUCUGCUGUUGAAGCGUGACACCGUCCUCACACAUGAACUCAUCACCUCUCGGAAGCUAAGAUGGCAUGAAAUGGUUGAGAAAUGUUCCAGUUAGGCCUGGAGGACCCGCUGAAGGAACAUUAAUCUUCAGCAAUGAGGCACAGAGAUGUAUAAGUGCAAAACAGAAUAGAGCUAAUACACUAUGUGCUCAAGGUGUAGAAAGACAAAGAAAUAUGGCUGAGAGGGGGAAAAAAAGCCACAUGACUGACAGGCAUGCUUAGCUUAAUGAGGGCGGAGUUUAAGUUCAAUUUGAUCAUUCAACCACAAACACUUUCAUAGCGUGUCAACACAAUAUGCAGCAUAGCAUUAAACACACAACUUCCAGCUAAGUGUUGAGUGUGCUAAUGUUAGCCAGCUAAUUAUUUACCUUAGCUAAUAUACCCUCUCCAAAAGUAGCUUUCUGACAGUAGCUAGCUUGUAAAACUAGACACUAUUACGGUAGGUAUUAUUUUAUUUUGUUAAGUUUUAUAUAAUUAGGGAAGUUUGUUAAUAGUAGGCUAAGCAUUGUACCAGGAAGUUAGGAUGCUAGUUAACAUCAACCAGCAGUCACUCCGGAUAAAGUCACGGCGGAUGAUGGAGUUGAAGCAAAAAUCAGGAAAUGAAUUCUCGGGUGUGUUUUUGGAAUGAAUGUGGUGAAACAGCUAAUAUUAGACAGCUAGCUAGUCUUGUUUUUGUUUUUUGCAACUAUGAUUGUGUGAGAAGUGAUGUUAGGGAAAUAGCAGGACAAAACCUGACCCUUGCAUGACCAUGAUAUAACAAUUAGUAAUUUUAUUUUUAUUUAAAAAAAAUUUUCAAGGAAAUGAAACUGCUUGCUAUAAUCUUACUUAUGAAUUGGCUCACAUUUCCAAGGUUCGUGAAUUUCCGAGGUCAAAGUUCACGUAAAUUCGGUUCUUCCUAUCAUCCAUUUCCAUGGAAAGCAAAUUACCGUUUUCAGUCCGCAAAUUUUAGUUGCUUUCGGUCUGACCUCUGCUUUUGAAGCUAGUGUUUCAUGCUAAGCGGUACGUUGUGCUAAAAAAGGUUGGUGGUGAUAUGAUCAAGUUUUGAUUAAGCCACAGAUGCAUGUCAAUCAACAAAAACAGGAAAUAGAACUGUCCAAAGAAAAAGAAAGAGUCCCUGGUUUGAUCCUGAUCUUGAUUUACUAUCAGUGUGGAGUUUCUCAGGUUUGGUCUCUCUCUGCUUGGGUUCCUCUGGGUUCUCCAGGGUCCUCCUACCUCCCUAAAACAUACCUUUUGGUGGAUUGGUAACUCUAAAUUGCCUCUAGGUGUGAAGCAGUGUGUGUGGUGCAUUGCCAUGGAUCCACCACAACCCUGCCCAGGAUAAAGAGCUCACUGAAGAUGAAUGAAAGAAUAAAUGAUUGCUGGAAUGUUGUGGUGGAUCAGUUUGUGCAUUUUGAAUGCAUGAAUAAACUAACGACCGAAUAAAUAAAGUGAGUGAAAGAAUAAACUAUAACAAUGUGAUGGGUUUUUUUCAGCAGUGUGGAGUCAUUAGAAGCGGCAGCGAUGAAUCAGCUCAGCCCAGAUGAAGCUCUGGAUUCAGGAUUAAAAACCCAGAUCAGCUUUAAACAAUAGAUAGGUUUAUUUCUAAGACGGGUUGGUCUGCUGGAAUCCGUGGAAUGUCUGCAGCAAACAUUAAAAACAAUCUACUCGGCUUCACGGGGGUGGAGUGAUAUGAAUCAAACCUUGUUUUCAAAGCAAGCACCUGCACCUUUUUUUUUCUUUUUAUUCCAUCUGGAAGAUGUUAGAAAAGCACUUUAUAUCCAUGGGCGUGGCAUUAUUUUUCCUUUUCCACUUUUCCACUGUCUUUCCAUUUUUCUCCUCGCCUUCCGACACGUCCAGCACGAUGGAAUGAGGACACAGAUGUGUGAAGGCUACGUCCGACUAUCACAACAGUAGCAGCUUUCCGAACAUCGUCGAAGUACAGAAUACCAUGCGAUACCUCCUGCAGCUCCAUGGAGCUCAUUGUUAGGGCCUAAAAUUUAUUACACAGAAAGACAGAGAGAGGCGCCGUUGCCAUUGAUGCAUCUGUGGGAAAGACAUUCAGGGCCUUCAAAAAAAGAAGAUGUCUUUUUAUCACCCUGCUAGCACACUGAUACCAGUCGCCCCCUGCUAAGGAUAUCUUUCCAGGCAUUGCAUAUAAAGUCGGAUUAGAAAUUGAAAAGACGAGUGUGUUCGAACGAGCAUCCCCUCCCUAGAACAGGCAUCAGAGAGAGGAAUUUUCCAGCCCAGCACUGAAAGAGGUCGAGUGUGAUGAGUGGUCAAUUUCACAGCCUCAUCUGCAACCAGGGGGAAAAAAAGGAGUAAAGGGAGCAAGGGAGUGCCUAGACGUUCCCUCUGUCGAGUUUAAUUUAUUGUGUAAUACAAGACUUGCUCAAUAAAGAGUUUGCUCGAUGCAACUUGUAGCCAGAGGGCAGCAAUUAGUGCAGGGUUCGGUCUCUGCAUGGCUGAGGUUGGAAAAAUUGCAAGACGAGAUAUUUCUUUGCGAUACUCACAUGUUUGUCAUCUAAAUUUCUAUGUGUUUCCUAGUUGUAUGAACUUGCAUUCACAAGUAUUCACCCCCCCCCCCACACACACACACAUUUUGUACUGUUACAACCUGGAAAGUGUGAAAGUGUGGGGGUGAAUACUUAUGCACUGUAAAUACUGUACACUAACUAGGCUAAUGCCAUUGUGAGUGUGAUUACACACACUGUUUCCCCUCUCACCCAGUAAAAAAAAAACACUCCGGUUUAGCACAUUGAUGUCAAAGGUUCCAUGCUGUUGCCUGGAGGUGUUGUGCUGCAGGCAGUGUCCUCUUCGCUUCACAAACAUUCGCAUUCAUUAUCUGCUCAAAAGGAGAGAUCUGUUACAGGAUUUUAAAAAAUGUUUUAAAAAGAUUACAUUAAAUCAAUAAAGGUUCUUUUCAAGCCAAUGAUCUUGAAAACCACAGCAACAACAGUGCUCCUGCUAACAGUGCAAAUACUCAGAUCUUCCUCAUGAUGAGAUUACAGCUAAAGAAAUGCAACUACAGUAUACAGUAUAUUCCAGACAUUUUUACGCAAGAAGAUUUUGUUUUGUUUUUGUUUUGUUUUUUGCAAAAUGCACUCUUCAGGGAAAAAAAAGUAUUUUUUCCAGGUUAAUGGUUCUGCCCCUCUGAUUCUUUAAAGAAAAACCCUCUGUAUGGUUCCAGCUAAAACUUUUAAGGGCUCCAAUAUGAUGACAGUUGGAACUCUUGUUUCUUUUUAGUAUUAUUACUACGGCUACUGUUGCUACUACUAUUACUAUUACUACUACUGUUAUUAUUCCUACUUCUACUAACACUACUAUUAUUACUAUUGCUACUACAACUCCUACUACUGAGUACAACUACAAACUCUCAGUUGGAAGGUCUAUAUAGAACUUUUAAGGGUUCCCCUAGAACGCAUUAUGAUGCUAGUUAGAACUGUUGAUUCUUAUUGUCUACUACUAUUAUUAUUAUUAUUAUUGCUACUACUACUCCUACUAUUACUACUAUUAUUGUUACUACUAAUACCUCUACUAUUACUAUUGCUGUUAUGUCUACUAUUACUAUUACUGCUACUAAGACUACUACUGCUGCUGCUGUUGCUGCCACAACAUCUACUAUUAUUAUUGCUACUUCUACUACUAAUAGAACUACUAUAACUAUAAUUACUAUUACAAUUACUAUUACUAUUACUAUUACUACUGCAACUACUACUAUUAAUACUGCUAUUAUUACUAUUGCUACUACUGC
Long non-coding RNA from Ictalurus furcatus (blue catfish), 7128 nucleotides. RefSeq lists it as uncharacterized. NCBI's taxonomy places the organism in Eukaryota, Metazoa, Chordata, Actinopteri, Siluriformes, Ictaluridae. The transcript is spliced from 4 exons. The record is from RefSeq and is a predicted model, not a curated record.